CCUGACUGCUAUCAGAUUGAUACUAAGCCAUGCGAGUCAUUGUAGUAAUACAAGGCAGACGGCUCAGUAACGCGUAGUCAACCUAACCUAUGGACGGGAAUAACCUCGGGAAACUGAGUAUAAUGCCCGAUAGAACAUUAUGCCUGGAAUGGUUUAUGUUCCAAAUGAUUUAUCGCCGUAGGAUGGGACUGCGGCCUAUCAGUUUGUUGGUGAGGUAAUGGCCCACCAAGACUAUUACAGGUACGGGCUCUGAGAGGAGUGGCCCGGAGAUGGGUACUGAGACACGGACCCAGGCCCUAUGGGGCGCAGCAGGCGAGAAAACUUUGCAAUGUGCGAAAGCACGACAAGGUUAAUCCGAGUAGUUUCUGCUAAAGGAACCUUUUGUCGGUCCUAGAAACACCGAUGAAUAAGGGGUGGGCAAGUUCUGGUGUCAGCCGCCGCGGUAAAACCAGCACCUCAAGUGGUCAGGAUGAUUAUUGGGCCUAAAGCAUCCGUAGCCGGCUUUGUUAGUUUUCGGUUAAAUUUGUAUGCUUAACGUACAGGCUGCCGGGAAUACUGCAGAGCUAGGGAGUGGGAGAGGUAGACGGUACUCGGUAGGAAGGGGUAAAAUCCUUUGAUCUAUUGAUGACCACCUGUGGCGAAGGCGGUCUACCAGAACACGUCCGACGGUGAGGGAUGAAAGCUGGGGGAGCAAACCGGAUUAGAUACCCGGGUAGUCCCAGCUGUAAACUAUGCAAACUCAGUGAUGCAUUGGCUUGUGGCCAAUGCAGUGCUGCAGGGAAGCCGUUAAGUUUGCCGCCUGGGAAGUACGUACGCAAGUAUGAAACUUAAAGGAAUUGGCGGGGGAGCACCACAAGGGGUGAAGCCUGCGGUUC
This 875-nucleotide ribosomal RNA is filed under the name uncultured marine group I thaumarchaeote. Its description in RNAcentral is "bacterial SSU rRNA". It matches the Rfam family "Archaeal small subunit ribosomal RNA", at positions 21 to 903 of the family's 1478-position model. The record is from RNAcentral. Lineage: Archaea; Thermoproteati; Nitrososphaerota.